Mustela erminea (ermine) is the source of this 590-nucleotide long non-coding RNA. RefSeq lists it as uncharacterized. Lineage: Eukaryota; Metazoa; Chordata; Mammalia; Carnivora; Mustelidae. The record is from RefSeq and is a predicted model, not a curated record. The transcript is spliced from 5 exons.
GUAAUUCCUGUGCAACCCCAAGUUCCCACCAGCGUUGAGCUUGACCUUCAAAACACUCCCCAGAAACUGGAGUGAGAUAUGUUGAAAUGCCACAUGAAAGGCCUUGCUUAGAGGGUUUCCAGCUGAGACUGGAGAUUGAAGUGGCGAACAUUCUCACAAGGGAUCCAGGCCUUCAGGAUAUUUCCAAACAAACCUUGUGGCCCCUCGGGGACAAGGGUAAACUUACGGAAAACUUGAAGUGGAAAAUAAGAGAAAUUAAUUUAGAACAGUUGCUUGAUCUAAAUGAAAUGUCAAGCUUCACCGGAUGAGUGAGCUCUGGCUGCUAUUCUGUGACAUGAUUCCACACUCACCUGAUCUAUGACGAUAAGACCAGUCAUCAACACAAUAUGUGGUGCCUGUCCAGAAAUUAGUCCUGGACAGAGCAACUUCAGGUAACUAACUAAUGGAUAGCAGCACCAUUAGAGAGAAAUCAAGGAAAACCUACACUUUGGAUCCCACCCGUCCUGGUUAUUUAAAAGAAGCUGUUUUAUCGGGGCGCCUGGGUGGCUCAGUGGGUUGAGCCUCUGCCUUCAGCUCAGGUCAUGAUCUCA